Molecule: ribosomal RNA, 433 nt
Filed under: uncultured bacterium
Lineage: Bacteria
Description: partial 16S ribosomal RNA
Rfam family: Bacterial small subunit ribosomal RNA
Source: RNAcentral
GACGAACGCUGGCGGCGUGCCUAACACAUGCAAGUCGAACGGGAAGGCCGGGCCUUUGGGCGCAGGUCGAGGUGCGACGGGGUGAGUAACCCGUGAGUAACGUGCAACUGACUGUGGGAUAUCUUAAGGAAACUGGAGCUCAUCCGGGCUAAGAGCUAUUGCUGGUGGGUGGGGGUGCGAUGGAUUAGCCAGUUGGGAGGGUACAAGCCGACCAAGGCGACGAUGCAUAGCUGGUGUGUGAGGAUGGUAAGCCACACUGGGACUGAGACACGGCUGAGACUCCUACGGGAGGCAGCAGUGGGGAAUAGUGGACAAUGGGCGAAAGCCUGAUCCAGCAAUGCCGCGUGAGUGAUGAAGGCCUUAGGGUUGUAAAGCUCUUUUACCCGGGAUGAUAAUGACAGUACCGGGAGAAUAAGCUCCGGCUAACUCCGUG